GUGCCAGCCGCCGCGGUAAUACGUAGGGUGCGAGCGUUAAUCGGAAUUACUGGGCGUAAAGCGUGCGCAGGCGGUUUCGUAAGACAGAUGUGAAAUCCCCGGGCUUAACCUGGGAACUGCGUUUGUGACUGCGAGACUUGAGUGCGGCAGAGGGGGGUGGAAUUCCACGUGUAGCAGUGAAAUGCGUAGGGAUGUGGAGGAACACCGAUGGCGAAGGCAGCCCCCUGGGUCGACACUGACGCUCAUGCACGAAAGCGUGGGGAGCAAACAGGAUUAGGUACCCUGGUAGUCCACGCCCUAAACGAUGUCAACUAGUUGUUGGUAGGGUAAAACCUAUUAGUAACGGAGCUAACGCGUGAAGUUGACCGCCUGGGGAGUACGGCCGCAAGGUUAAAACUCAAAGGAAUUGACGG
Molecule: ribosomal RNA, 413 nt
Filed under: uncultured bacterium
Lineage: Bacteria
Description: bacterial SSU rRNA
Rfam family: Bacterial small subunit ribosomal RNA
Source: RNAcentral